UACGGGAGGCAGCAGUGGGGAAUAUUGCACAAUGGGCGCAAGCCUGAUGCAGCCAUGCCGCGUGUAUGAAGAAGGCCUUCGGGUUGUAAAGUACUUUCAGUCGUGAGGAAGGUGUUAAGGUUAAUAACCUUAGCAAUUGACGUUAGCGACAGAAGAAGCACCGGCUAACUCCGUGCCAGCAGCCGCGGUAAUACGGAGGGUGCGAGCGUUAAUCGGAAUUACUGGGCGUAAAGGGCACGCAGGCGGUUAAUUAAGUUGGAUGUGAAAUCCCCGGGCUUAACCUGGGAAUGGCAUUCAAGACUGGUUAGCUAGAGUCUUGUAGAGGGGGUAGAAUUCCAUGUGUAGCGGUGAAAUGCGUAGAGAUGUGGAGGAAUACCGGUGGCGAAGGCGGCCCCUGGACAAAGAACUGACGCUCAUGUGCGAAAGCGUGGGGAGCAAACAGGGAUUAGAUACC
RNAcentral lists this ribosomal RNA (454 nucleotides) under uncultured bacterium. RNAcentral's name for it is "bacterial SSU rRNA". It matches the Rfam family "Bacterial small subunit ribosomal RNA", at positions 340 to 786 of the family's 1533-position model. The record is from RNAcentral.